CAUUACUCAAAGCGGCUUUGUAAAUCGCGAGCUCCCCUUUGAGCUCCUCCAUUUCUUUCUGCAUGGCUAGCACCAUAUCCUCGAGAGCUUCAUCCCUCUCUGCCAGCUUUACCUCAGUGGACUCGAGUAAUUCCGUUAUCUUUUCCCUAUUUGCACCGAGAGAAUCCAACACAAAAUCUCUGAGUUGCUCCUCCAUUGAGUCAAACCCAUCCGUGCG
This 217-nucleotide long non-coding RNA is filed under the name Gossypium raimondii (Peruvian cotton). RNAcentral describes it as "long non-coding RNA (GRAI_LNC007478)". The record is from RNAcentral. Lineage: Eukaryota; Viridiplantae; Streptophyta; Magnoliopsida; Malvales; Malvaceae.